GGCGGCCCCGCCGCCCGACAUGGCUGCCGUUGCCAUGGCGCUGCGGACGCGUCGGAAGCCGCCUCCCUCGCCCUCCGGCGCAGUGCGGCCGAGCCGCCGUCGCGGAGCGGGCUCCUUUCUCAGCUGAAGACCUCUUUGCUGAGAAUAAAAGGCUGUUUGUCCACACCACUCACCAUGGGAAUGCAUGAAGAAUCAAACAGCCCCAGAGCUACAAAAAGGAAAUGCUGGAAGCACCUCAAUUAAAAGUCACACAGAAGAGAGCUCUCUCUCUCUCUCUCAGGAAUCCCAAAACAUCCUGGCAAGCAAUCUGAAGAAAGAAGAAUGAAAGACUCCAAUCAGAGAGCAGAUCUAGAGACUGAGUAGAACCAACAGGAUUACUAAUUAUGGCUUUCCUAUCUAACUACUCAGUUCCAAUAACGAUCAUGAAAGAUAAAA
Long non-coding RNA from Rhea pennata, 435 nucleotides. RefSeq lists it as uncharacterized. The record is from RefSeq and is a predicted model, not a curated record. The transcript is spliced from 3 exons. NCBI's taxonomy places the organism in Eukaryota, Metazoa, Chordata, Aves, Rheiformes, Rheidae.